GACGGAGGGUGCAAGCGUUGUUCGGAAUUACUGGGCGUAAAGCGUAUGUAGGCGGUUAGUUAAGUCGAAUGUAAAAGCCUGAGGCUCAACCUCAGAACUGCAUUCGAUACUGGCUGACUAGAGGAUGAUAGAGGAGAGCGGAAUUCCCAGUGUAGCGGUGAAAUGCGUAGAUAUUGGGAGGAACAUCGGUGGCGAAAGCGGCUCUCUGGGUCAUUCCUGACGCUGAGGUACGAAAGCGUGGGGAGCAAACGGG
RNAcentral lists this ribosomal RNA (253 nucleotides) under uncultured bacterium. RNAcentral's name for it is "partial 16S ribosomal RNA". It matches the Rfam family "Bacterial small subunit ribosomal RNA", at positions 524 to 776 of the family's 1533-position model. The record is from RNAcentral.